GAUGAACGCUGGCGGCGUGCCUAAUACAUGCAAGUCGAGCGAACAGACGAGGAGCUUGCUCCUCUGACGUUAGCGGCGGACGGGUGAGUAACACGUGGAUAACCUACCUAUAAGACUGGGAUAACUUCGGGAAACCGGAGCUAAUACCGGAUAAUAUAUUGAACCGCAUGGUUCAAUAGUGAAAGACGGUUUUGCUGUCACUUAUAGAUGGAUCCGCGCCGCAUUAGCUAGUUGGUAAGGUAACGGCUUACCAAGGCAACGAUGCGUAGCCGACCUGAGAGGUGGUUCGGCCACCUUGAAACGGGGACACGGUCAGACUCCUACGGGAGGCAGCAGCAGGGAAUCUUCCGCAAUGGGCGAAAGCUUGACGGAGCAACGCCGCGUGAGUGAUGAAGGUCUUCGGAUCGUAAAACUCUGUUAUUAGGGAAGAACAAAUGUGUAAGUAACUAUGCACGUCUUGACGGUACCUAAUCAGAAAGCCACGGCUAACUACGUG
Molecule: ribosomal RNA, 496 nt
Filed under: uncultured bacterium
Lineage: Bacteria
Description: partial 16S ribosomal RNA
Rfam family: Bacterial small subunit ribosomal RNA
Source: RNAcentral